AGAGUUUGAUCAUGGCUCAGAUUGAACGCUGGCGGCAUGCCUUACACAUGCAAGUCGAACGGCAGCACGGGUGCUUGCACCUGGUGGCGAGUGGCGAACGGGUGAGUAAUACAUCGGAACGUGCCCAGUCGUGGGGGAUAACGUAGCGAAAGCUACGCUAAUACCGCAUACGAUCUACGGAUGAAAGCGGGGGAUCGCAAGACCUCGCGCGAUUGGAGCGGCCGAUGGCAGAUUAGGUAGUUGGUGGGGUAAAGGCUCACCAAGCCGACGAUCUGUAGCUGGUCUGAGAGGAUGAUCAGCCACACUGGGACUGAGACACGGCCCAGACUCCUACGGGAGGCAGCAGUGGGGAAUUUUGGACAAUGGGCGCAAGCCUGAUCCAGCCAUUCCGCGUGCAGGACGAAGGCCUUCGGGUUGUAAACUGCUUUUGUACGGAACGAAAAGGCUCUGGUUAAUACCUGGGGCUCAUGACGGUACCGUAAGAAUAAGCACCGGCUAACUACGUGCCAGCAGCCGCGGUAAU
Molecule: ribosomal RNA, 523 nt
Filed under: uncultured bacterium
Lineage: Bacteria
Description: bacterial SSU rRNA
Rfam family: Bacterial small subunit ribosomal RNA
Source: RNAcentral